UGAGGAAUAUUGGUCAAUGGGCGAGAGCCUGAACCAGCCACGUCGCGUGAAGGAAGACUGACCUUACGGUUUGUAAACUUCUUUUGUAGGGGGGUAAUGGCAGAUACGUGUAUUUGCGUGAAAGUACUCUACGAAUAAGCAUCGGCUAACUCCGUGCCAGCAGCCGCGGUAAUACGGGGGAUGCGAGCGUUAUCCGGAAUUAUUGGGUUUAAAGGGUGCGCAGGUGGCUAAUCAGGUCAGUGGUGAAAAGCUAUGGCUCAACCAUGGUCUUGCCAUUGAAACCGUAUAGCUAGAGAGGAGACGAGGUAGGCGGAAUGUGUGGUGUAGCGGUGAAAUGCAUAGAUAUCACACAGAACUCCGAUUGCGAAGGCAGCUUACCAGGCUUUAUCUGACACUUAGGCACGACAGCGUGGGGAUCAAACAGG
Molecule: ribosomal RNA, 425 nt
Filed under: Verrucomicrobiota bacterium
Lineage: Bacteria; Pseudomonadati; Verrucomicrobiota
Description: Verrucomicrobia bacterium partial 16S ribosomal RNA
Rfam family: Bacterial small subunit ribosomal RNA
Source: RNAcentral